AACCAUUCUCACCUGCGGCUAGACCUGCGGAGGGAUCAUUACACAAUAAACAUAUGAAGGCUGCACCGCCAACAGGCGGCAAGGCUGGAGUAUUUUAUUACCCUUGUCUUUUGCGCACUUGUUGUUUCCUGGGCGGGUUCGCCCGCCUCCAGGACCACAUGAUAAACCUUUUUUAUGCAGUUGCAAUCAGCGUCAGUACAACAAAUGUAAAUCAUUUACAACUUUUAACAACGGAUCUCA
Molecule: unclassified non-coding RNA, 240 nt
Filed under: soil metagenome
Description: partial contains 5.8S ribosomal RNA, internal transcribed spacer 2, and large subunit ribosomal RNA
Source: RNAcentral